RNAcentral lists this ribosomal RNA (480 nucleotides) under uncultured bacterium. Its description in RNAcentral is "partial 16S ribosomal RNA". It matches the Rfam family "Bacterial small subunit ribosomal RNA", at positions 28 to 507 of the family's 1533-position model. The record is from RNAcentral.
GAUGAACGCUAGCGGCAGGCCUAACACAUGCAAGUCGAGGGAGAGGUUACCUUCGGGUAACCAAAACCGGCGCACGGGUGCGUAACGCGUAUACAAUCUGCCUUUCACAUAGGGAUAGCCCGAAGAAAUUUGGAUUAAUACCUAAUGGUAUAUAAGAGCGGCAUCGUUUUUAUAUUAAAGCUACGGUGGUGAAAGAUGAGUAUGCGUUCUAUUAGCUAGUUGGAGAGGUAACGGCUCCCCAAGGCGACGAUAGAUAGGGGUUCUGAGAGGGAUGUCCCCCACACUGGUACUGAGGUACGGACCAGACUCCUACGGGAGGCAGCAGUGAGGAAUAUUGGACAAUGGUCGGAAGACUGAUCCAGCCAUGCCGCGUGCAGGAGGAAGGUCCUAUGGAUUGUAAACUGCUUUUGUAAGGGAAGAAUAAGGAGUACGUGUACUUUGAUGACGGUACCUUACGAAUAAGCAUCGGCUAACUCCGUG